This 492-nucleotide ribosomal RNA is filed under the name uncultured bacterium. RNAcentral's name for it is "partial 16S ribosomal RNA". It matches the Rfam family "Bacterial small subunit ribosomal RNA", at positions 29 to 507 of the family's 1533-position model. The record is from RNAcentral.
AGUGAACGCUGGCGGUAGGCCUAACACAUGCGAGUCGAACGGCAGCACAGUAAGAGCUUGCUCUUACGGGUGGCGAGUGGCGGACGGGUGAGGAAUACAUCGGAAUCUACUUUUUCGUGGGGGAUAACGUAGGGAAACUUACGCUAAUACCGCAUACGACCUACGGGUGAAAGCAGGGGAUCUUCGGACCUUGCGCGAUUGAAUUAGCCGAUGUCGGAUUAGCUAGUUGGCGGGGUAAAGGCCCACCAAGGCGACGAUCCGUAGCUGGUCUGAGAGGAUGAUCAGCCACACUGGAACUGAGACACGGUCCAGACUCCUACGGGAGGCAGCAGUGGGGAAUAUUGGACAAUGGGCGCAAGCCUGAUCCAGCCAUACCGCGUGGGUGAAGAAGGCCUUCGGGUUGUAAAGCCCUUUUGUUGGGAAAGAAAAGCAGCAGGUUAAUACCCCGCUGUUCUGACGGUACCCAAAGAAUAAGCACCGGCUAACUUCGUG